AUAUAGGCUCUUUGUUAGAUCAACAAUAAUGCAUAUGAGAGCCACUCAACAUUUUCAUCAAGGUCUUCU
Non-coding RNA from Triticum urartu, 69 nucleotides. NCBI's taxonomy places the organism in Eukaryota, Viridiplantae, Streptophyta, Magnoliopsida, Poales, Poaceae. The record is from Rfam.